GUAACGCUGGCGGCUGCUCCACACAUUACAAGUUGAACGGGUUUAAGUUCUAUUAAACUUAAACAAGUAGCGGACGGGUGAGUAACGCGUAAGAACCUACCUUUAGGUAAGGAAUAACUAUUGGAAACGAUAGAUAAUACCUUAUAAGCUUAUAGUAAAAGAUAAAAUCGCCUAAGGAUGGGCUUGCGUCUGAUUAGCUUGUUGGUGAUUUAAAAGAUUCACCAAGGCAACGAUCAGUAGUUGGUCUAAGAGGAUGAUCAACCACACUGGGACUGAGACACGGCCCAGACCUCUACGGAGGGCAGCAGUGAGGAAUUUUCCGCAAUGGGCGAAAGCCUGACGGAGCAAUGCCGCGUGGAGGAUGAAAGCUUGUGAGUCGUAAACUCCUUUUCUUAGUGAAGAAAUAAGACGGUAUCUAAGGAAUAAGCAUCGGCUAACUCCGUGCCAGCAGCCGCGGUAAUACGGAGGAUGCAAGCGUUAU
This 481-nucleotide ribosomal RNA is filed under the name uncultured bacterium. RNAcentral describes it as "bacterial SSU rRNA". It matches the Rfam family "Bacterial small subunit ribosomal RNA", at positions 32 to 542 of the family's 1533-position model. The record is from RNAcentral.